This 196-nucleotide microRNA precursor is filed under the name Oryza brachyantha (malo sina). Its description in RNAcentral is "MIR812 microRNA precursor family". It matches the Rfam family "MIR812 microRNA precursor family". The record is from Rfam by way of RNAcentral. Lineage: Eukaryota; Viridiplantae; Streptophyta; Magnoliopsida; Poales; Poaceae.
AAUAAACUAAUUUUUCACUUUUUAUUUAUAAUUUUUGAUUUUUCGUCUUAUUCAAAUUUUGUUUGUGAUUGAUAUUUUUGUUUUUAUUAGAUAAUAAAUCAUGAAUAGUACUGUACGUGUGACUAAUUUUUUUUCUAAUUUUCUGAAAAUUUUUUAAAUAAGACGAAUGGUCAAAUGUUGGACACAAAAACCGAAG